GGUAUCUCUCUUUCCUAGCGCUGUUGCCAGGCAGACUUGUUACUGACACAAAUUUCCUCCCUGAUAAGUUGAGCUCUUCCCCCUCCCAACUUCAUUAUGCCUGCAGCCGGAGCUCUGCUGCAGAGGAAGCCAUGCCAGACACUCUGAUUCACGCUCCUAAAAUAUCGGCCAGCCUGGGUAUGCAAGUGAUGCGAUAAAUCUGGAAAACAUAAAUCAGAUUGUCGGAUGCUAUAUCUGUUUGUGCACAUAGGCUGCAGCAGGCAUGGUGACAUGCCCUCCAACUCUUUGGAGACUACAUUCAAGAGGAGGUUAAAGGGCACGGCUUCUAGAUCUGGGACAGGUGGGCGAGGAGGGCAGGAGUCAACAUGUAGAAGAGGCUUUAAAACUGUUGACAUACAGCCCAGGCACCAGACAUGAGAGUGAAGUGGAGUUCAGGCUCAGAGAUUAUCGGGAGAGGCUGGAAAAGGAAGCCUGAGGAGAGGACCCAAUGUUAGCAAAUCUUCCAAUAUAAAGAAUUUACAAAGCCCCUGAGUUUGGAUAUCAGAGGGAAGGUUGGUUUCAGCUUCACUAGGAACCCAGUCAAGAUGGAAAAUCAAAUAUACAGAAUCUGGCAGUUUGGAAGCUUCCUUAAAGAACACUCUAGAAAAAGCCAACCAACAAGUCCUUUCCUUUGGUGAACAAAGAAAAUUGCCUUCUUUGAGCCACUUAAUCAUUUCAAAGCCCAGAAAAGAAGACGGACUUUGUCUCUUUAGAAGAGGAGUCUGGAGACGUGGAGAUGAGCCAUGAGGGCCAUCUUUAUAGUUGCCUGGAAUAGAAGUGCCCAACAGAAGGCAGUGGACCAGCAUAGAGGCUUCAUAGAGCAAACAUAGCUGCAGCGACAAGAGUGACCCACACUGAUUGACAAUAAACUAGUGAAUGAAUUGACCUUGACAAUCUUCCAGGUCCAAGACAUAUAAAUCUACAUGCCUUCUGUAUCCUUUUUGCACGUUGAUCUUGCCCCAUCCUAUGACUCAAAACGACUGACACAGCACCCACAGAUUUCCAGUUCACAAGCAUGCUCUGUUCUCCCUCUACCUGGACCAAGUUGACGAUUGUACAGCUGUGUGCCAUUUGCAUGCCAUCUUUCCAUGAUAGGUCCAUGCAUAUGGGUAUUGGGGG
Molecule: long non-coding RNA, 1158 nt
Filed under: Equus caballus (horse)
Lineage: Eukaryota; Metazoa; Chordata; Mammalia; Perissodactyla; Equidae
Description: lncRNA (ENSECAG00000053560.1)
Source: RNAcentral